UACGAAGGGGGCUAGCGUUGCUCGGAAUCACUGGGCGUAAAGCGCACGUAGGCGGAUUCCUAAGUCGGGGGUGAAAUCCUGGAGCUCAACUCCAGAACUGCCUUCGAUACUGGGAAUCUUGAGUCCGGGAGAGGUGAGUGGAACUGCGAGUGUAGAGGUGAAAUUCGUAGAUAUCAGGUGGAACACCAGUGGCGAAGGCGGCUUUCUGGACGGUAACUGACGCUGAGACGCGAAAGCGUGGGGAGCAAACAGG
This 253-nucleotide ribosomal RNA is filed under the name uncultured bacterium. Its description in RNAcentral is "partial 16S ribosomal RNA". It matches the Rfam family "Bacterial small subunit ribosomal RNA", at positions 524 to 776 of the family's 1533-position model. The record is from RNAcentral.